UUAAAUUGAAGAGUUUGAUCAUGGCUCAGAUUGAACGCUGGCGGCAGGCCUAACACAUGCAAGUCGAACGGUAACAGGAAGCAGCUUGCUGCUUUGCUGACGAGUGGCGGACGGGUGAGUAAUGUCUGGGAAACUGCCCGAUGGAG
This 146-nucleotide ribosomal RNA is filed under the name Escherichia coli. RNAcentral describes it as "partial 16S ribosomal RNA". It matches the Rfam family "Bacterial small subunit ribosomal RNA", at positions 1 to 138 of the family's 1533-position model. RNAcentral also lists the same sequence under 1 other name. Lineage: Bacteria; Pseudomonadati; Pseudomonadota; Gammaproteobacteria; Enterobacterales; Enterobacteriaceae. The record is from RNAcentral.